UUUAAAUUUAAUUUUAAUUUAAUGAUUAGGUAGUUAAUAAGCGGAGAUGUUCUGUUUAUCUACAGUAGGACGGGAUUUAACGAUGUAGGCUGAUGUGCUUCUUUUCCUUAUUACUAAUCUUUAUUGUUAACCAUAUUGAUGAGAAAUGUGAUGUAUAUGUAAAAUCCAUAGGCUAAUUUAAUUCAGUUUUGUUCUGUAAUGUUGUAAUGGUUUUUUUCUACACACACACAUACACUAAACGUACACAUGAACGCUCUUUUCAAACAGAAGCUUGUAACACACAUGAUAUCUGCCACAUAAUGACUACUACAAAUUACAAAUUAUAUAUAAUUUUAUUUCAUAUAAAGGGAAAAUUAAAAGUGAGUUAAUCCAAGCAGCUCUAAUGGCGCGGUGUUGCCAUUUAAACAUGUUAAUUACAAAAACAAAACGUUCGUUGUACUGUCUCUGGAAAAAAUCAACAGUGAUUGAUCAGCCUUUAUUUAUACAGUAUUGUAGACGUUAUUAUUACCUAGGCGAAGCAAAAUUUUCUGAAAUAUAGGCUACAGUAAGAGCGCCUGCAUGGCUGUCCAUCAGAUGCCUGUCAAAGUUGAGUUCGUUACUAUAGCAACAGUAAAACUUUCAUGUCGUUAUAACGAGAAAACAAACUUUUGUUAUGUCGAGAUAACGAGAAAAAUAAGUCGCUAUAACGAGAAAACGACUUUCGUUAUGUCGAGAUAACGAGAAAAAUAAGUCGCUAUAACGAGAAAACAAAAAGGAAAAAAAUUAUAAUGGAUGGCCGCUUAGAACUUCCGUAGUUGUCAAAAUAGGGCUUGGGCGCCGCGUUGCAUUCUGGGAUGUGGAGGCCAUGUUGAUGGCUUCGUGAAUGUAAACAUACAGCAAGUCGAACGAGAAGAAACAGAGUUGGGAGAAAGAAAAAAUAUGUUAAAAUCGCGAAAAGGUUGUGGGAUUUACAGGGAUACGCUAAGUAGGGAUGCCAGGGAUCUGUAUGUGGACAAAAUCGGCACUAUUAACGGUUUGGAUCAAUAUGAAAAUCCCAACAAAGAGUGGAGCACCGACGACGAGUUGCAGCCGCACUUUCGCAUUACAGAUAUCUUCGGCUACCUUGUUUGUUUUGUGAGCGCCUAUACUUCAGAACAGUUCCGAAGCUACAAGUCAUUGGAGUCUCAUGUGCAGUUCACAAAUGGAUGGGUUAAGGAGCUGCAGAUCAUAAAGCCGGCAAACAGUAUACAGUAAUCCGGACAAAGCUGCUCCCUUUUGCAGAUGCUUUCAGCACACCAGUUAAUCACCACCAGAUGUGAUGAAGAGAGACACAGAGACUCACAGAGAGAGAGGUUGAGGAGCAUAUGUGUGUGACAGAUUGGAUGUAGAGAAAAAUGGAGAGGAAGAUAAAGACAAGAGAAUGAGUCCAACCAGCUGAUAAAAUCAUCACACUAAUCCACAAGUAAUCCACAC
Long non-coding RNA from Cyprinus carpio carpio, 1452 nucleotides. The record is from Ensembl. Lineage: Eukaryota; Metazoa; Chordata; Actinopteri; Cypriniformes; Cyprinidae.